Molecule: ribosomal RNA, 253 nt
Filed under: uncultured bacterium
Lineage: Bacteria
Description: partial 16S ribosomal RNA
Rfam family: Bacterial small subunit ribosomal RNA
Source: RNAcentral
UACAGAGGUGGCAAGCGUUGUUCGGAAUUACUGGGCGUAAAGGGCGCGUAGGCGGCCUUCUAAGUCAGACGUGAAAUCCCCAGGCUUAACUUGGGAACUGCGUCUGAUACUGGGAGGCUUGAGUGCGGGAGAGGGAUGUGGAAUUCCAGGUGUAGCGGUGAAAUGCGUAGAUAUCUGGAGGAACACCGGUGGCGAAGGCGGCGUCCUGGACCAACACUGACACUGAUGAGCGAAAGCCAGGGGAGCAAACGGG